Molecule: long non-coding RNA, 287 nt
Organism: Caretta caretta (loggerhead turtle)
Lineage: Eukaryota; Metazoa; Chordata; Testudines; Cheloniidae
Source: RefSeq, a predicted model, not a curated record
CCGGGUACAGAACAGGAAUGGAGUCUUAGAACUUAAGCACACGGGAAUACCAAUCAUGGACCAGGACGCCACCGUGCUAGGCACAGUACAAAGAUGAUCCUUGCCCCAAAGAGUUUUCAGUCAGUGUUGCAAAAGCCUGAUACCCCAAAGAAGAGCUCCUAACUCUACAAUUUGCUGUCUCCACUAACCUGAAGUCAGAGUUUGCUGGCCCUCUAGGCACAGAGUAAAACCUCACAUCUUCCACUGGGAUACUUGUGAGGUAUCUUUUUUUUUUUUUUUAAAUAAAU